RNAcentral lists this ribosomal RNA (210 nucleotides) under Staphylococcus epidermidis. RNAcentral's name for it is "partial 16S ribosomal RNA". It matches the Rfam family "Bacterial small subunit ribosomal RNA", at positions 362 to 564 of the family's 1533-position model. Lineage: Bacteria; Bacillati; Bacillota; Bacilli; Caryophanales; Staphylococcaceae. The record is from RNAcentral.
UCUUCCGCAAUGGGCGAAAGCCUGACGGAGCAACGCCGCGUGAGUGAUGAAGGUCUUCGGAUCGUAAAACUCUGUUAUUAGGGAAGAAUAAAUGUGUAAGUAACUAUGCACGUCUUGACGGUACCUAAUCAGAAAGCCACGGCUAACUACGUGCCAGCAGCCGCGGUAAUACGUAGGUGGCAAGCGUUAUCCGGAAUUAUUGGGCGUAAA